GUGCCAGCCGCCGCGGUAAGACGAACCGUGCGAACGUUGUUCGGAAUCACUGGGCUUAAAGGGCGCGUAGGCGGCUUGCCAAGUCAGUGGUGAAAUCCUGCAGCUUAACUGUAGAAGUGCCUUUGAUACUGGCAAGCUAGAGCGAGGUAGGGGUCUGUGGAACUUCUGGUGGAGCGGUGAAAUGCGUUGAUAUCAGAAGGAACGCCGGUGGCGAAAGCGACGGACUGGACCUUUUCUGACGCUGAGGCGCGAAAGCCAGGGGAGCAAACGGGAUUAGAUACCCCAGUAGUCC
Molecule: ribosomal RNA, 292 nt
Filed under: uncultured bacterium
Lineage: Bacteria
Description: partial 16S ribosomal RNA
Rfam family: Bacterial small subunit ribosomal RNA
Source: RNAcentral